Molecule: unclassified non-coding RNA, 240 nt
Filed under: Hevea brasiliensis (rubber tree)
Lineage: Eukaryota; Viridiplantae; Streptophyta; Magnoliopsida; Malpighiales; Euphorbiaceae
Source: RNAcentral
CCUAUUUCAAGAAGCCAAAACCUGCUCAAAGCAGCCCAAGACCACCAAAAUUAGAAAUGUUCUAUGAAAAAAGUAAGCUUUUUGUUGACUAACUACCAAAAUAGAUUUAAAAAAUACAUAUAUCUUGUUUAACAAAGAACCCAUCUUUUGUCCGGUAACAUACAUUAGCCAAAAUAUAUAAAAACCCCAGACAAAAAUAUCAUUUGCAAUACUGACCAUGACCCUAUAUAUAGACUGCAG